RNAcentral lists this ribosomal RNA (279 nucleotides) under uncultured bacterium. RNAcentral describes it as "partial 16S ribosomal RNA". It matches the Rfam family "Bacterial small subunit ribosomal RNA", at positions 506 to 784 of the family's 1533-position model. The record is from RNAcentral.
UGCCAGCCGCCGCGGUAAUACUGAAGGUGCAAGCGUUAAUCGGAAUCACUGGGCGUAAAGCGCUCGUAGGUGGCUUUGUAAGUCAGAUGUGAAAGCCCACGGCUCAACCGAGGAAUUGCGUUUGAAACUGGUAUGCUAGGGUCUCGGAGAGGUUGGCGGAAUUCCAGGUGUAGGAGUGAAAUCCGUAGAGAUCAGAAGGAACACCGGUGGCGAAGGCGACUUCCUGGACUAUUACUGACACUGAGGAGCGAAAGCGUGGGGAGCAAACAGGAUUAGAUA